AACCCGACUACAUGAAGCUGGAAUCGCUAGUAAUCGCAGGUCAGCAUACUGCGGUGAAUACGUUCCCGGGUCUUGUACACACCGCCCGUCACACCAUGGGAGCCGGAAAUGCCCGAAGCCAGUGACCCAACCUUAGGGAGGGAGCUGUCGAAGGUGGAGCCGGUAACUGGGGUGAAGUCGUAACAAGGUAAC
RNAcentral lists this ribosomal RNA (192 nucleotides) under uncultured bacterium. RNAcentral's name for it is "partial 16S ribosomal RNA". It matches the Rfam family "Bacterial small subunit ribosomal RNA", at positions 1309 to 1500 of the family's 1533-position model. The record is from RNAcentral.